Zingiber officinale is the source of this 591-nucleotide long non-coding RNA. RefSeq lists it as uncharacterized. The transcript has 3 exons. The record is from RefSeq and is a predicted model, not a curated record. NCBI's taxonomy places the organism in Eukaryota, Viridiplantae, Streptophyta, Magnoliopsida, Zingiberales, Zingiberaceae.
UCCUCACCCGCGUACCCUAAAACCCACGCCGACACCUUCCUCUCCUGAUUCUCCCUUCGCGUCGAACCACCGCCGAGCCCUCACCCUGCGUCGCCGCACUCCCUCGCACGAGCACCCUCGGACGCCGCCGGCGUCUCCCCCUCGUCGACACCCAAGCACCGCCGGCACUCACGCGGUUUCCCCUCUCACAACCCCCUCGCCUCUAGCCGCCGAGCCACAGCCGCGAUCAUCUUGCCCUCCCGCGAGCAUCACAGCCGGCUCUCCUCCUCAUGCCAACACCGGGGCGUCGCGACGAGCCACGGCAGUCUUGCUCUCCUCUUUGCAUGAGCACCGCGGCGUCGCCCCCUCUGCCCUCGCCGAACCUCUUCUUCCUCACGCGAGCAGCAGCCGCCGAUCCUCUCCUCGCUGAGCCAUGCCCUAACUAACCCAGCGAGUUCCUUCCUCAAUAGAUACGGAUAGAAUUCUAGGACGCUGAUUCGAGAUGAGCGUAUUGACGUAGGGCUUUUGAUUCGAUCUUCUUGCUAAGGCAGGUAACAGAUAGAUGAGUCAUGGAUGCUUGGAGAGAUGUCGGCUGCCAGUCCUGGGUCCUAC